Molecule: ribosomal RNA, 180 nt
Filed under: uncultured Glomeromycotina
Lineage: Eukaryota; Fungi; Glomeromycota
Description: partial small subunit ribosomal RNA
Source: RNAcentral
GACCUGGCCGGGCGGUCCGCCUCACGGUGUGUACUGUCUGGCUGGGCCUUACCUCUUGGUGAGCCGGCAUGCCCUUUACUGGGUGUGUCGGGGAACCAGGACUUUUACCUUGAGAAAAUUAGAGUGUUCAAAGCAGGCUUUUGCUCGAAUACAUUAGCAUGGAAUAAUAGAAUAGGACGU